Molecule: long non-coding RNA, 1123 nt
Filed under: Monodelphis domestica (gray short-tailed opossum)
Lineage: Eukaryota; Metazoa; Chordata; Mammalia; Didelphimorphia; Didelphidae
Description: lncRNA (ENSMODG00000034419.2)
Source: RNAcentral
GUUUGAGCACCAAUGCCAGAGAUAAGCAACCAGGAAUGGGCCCUUGGAAGGGGAAUUUUCCAGACCCAGAUGCUAGGGAUUAAACAGAAAGCUGGUAGGAAACCCAAGAGAAGAAUUCGUUCGGAGAAUUGUCUGGAACCAAGCCUGAGAGUCAGAAUUUCAAAGCUGGGAAGGCUGGACUUCAUCGUACUAGUCCAACAAGCAAUUCCACUGGGUCAAACCAGUCUUCAGUGCUCCCUGGAUGGCGUGUCCUUACGUUAUCGAUCGAGGGAAUGCAGUUUCCGAGUCGCCCACCAGGUGGUGCUAUGUACGAGUCUCCGGCAUCUCUUGCACCAAAUCCCCGGACUCCGGUGCACCACCUCCCCCGGACAUUAUUGUCAUGGAUCCCAACCCGGUUGCAAACUGGUCUCCCCACUCCAGGCCAUCCUCAAUUCUGCAGCCAAAGAAAUCUUCCUUAUCUGCAGGUCUGGCACGUGACAUCCCUUCCGGCAGCCCCAGUGCUUUCUUAAUGCCGUGAAGACAAAAUUAUGCCCUUACCCAGGUACUCGUCUCCUGCACGAGCCUGUACGUUGCUUGAGUGUAGAAAUGGUUCCAUUCUUUGUACUUCAUGCAUACUUGUGCCCGAUUGACUGUCUGCUUGAAUAAGAUGUUCGCCAGCUUAGCUCUGCACCUGUUCUGGCCUUCCACUGAGCUGGGCCAGCAAAUGCAGCCCGCUCACCGCGCUCUUUGCAGCCAACGACCCUGAUCUCCCAGCUCCAGCCCUUCUGGGUCAUCUGCACCAAGACUGCUUCCUCUUAGCUGCCGACACUCAUACUGGAGGGAGGGUUUCUUUCUGGGCCCGACACCGAAACUGCUGCUGUGGUUUCAGUGUGCCCUAUGUGGGCAGCCCGACAUUGGAUGUGGCUAACCGAGCAUUAACAGGAGCUCUACCUCAGAACACUGGUGGUUCCCUGCCAACAGGGCGUAGUGGAGACCCGCCUGAAUGCUGCAUCAAGAAAACCCAGGUUCAGAUUCUGCUGGCUGUGUGACCUGGGGAAAACCCCUGAACCUCUCGGAUUCGAUUUCCUCAUCCUGUAAAAUGGGGAAUAAUAAAAGUGCCUGACUCACAGAGUUGUUGUGAAGA